Molecule: transfer RNA, 75 nt
Filed under: Bacillota bacterium
Lineage: Bacteria; Bacillati; Bacillota
Also listed under: 3 other names
Description: tRNA-Thr
Rfam family: tRNA
About the family: Transfer RNA (tRNA) molecules are approximately 80 nucleotides in length. Their secondary structure includes four short double-helical elements and three loops (D, anti-codon, and T loops).
Source: RNAcentral
GCUGGUGUGGCUCAACGGUAGAGCAGCUGAUUUGUAAUCAGCAGGUUGGGGGUUCGAUUCCCUUCGCCAGCUCCA